UUAUAGAGAGGCAGAAAUACCCCCUCUGCUUUUUCUCUAACAUUGGUGCAAUUCCCCAAUACCAAUAUACAGAAUACUUUUUUUUUUUUUUUUUUUUUUUUUUUUUACAGAAGUGAAAGAAAACCAACAGAACACCAGAAAACCAACAGAACAAAUCAUGGUCAAAUUUAAGCUAUUUAGAGAAAAGGUAAGAGUGCAGAAUUUUACUUUGCCACAAAUAGAGAUUUGGAGAAGAAUGCUGGGGGACCCAGAUGGGAUUCCAAAGGCUGCAUCUCUAGACGUGACCAUGUUCUGAUCAACUCAACAUGGAAGGACUCGUCCAGCUGGUGCAUGGUGGCAAAUCCUGAAAAUUCUACCUUCAAAAUACUCCAGAAUUCAACUCCUUCAACUCCAGAAUUCAAC
This 402-nucleotide long non-coding RNA is filed under the name Mustela putorius furo (domestic ferret). RNAcentral describes it as "lncRNA (ENSMPUG00000031073.1)". The record is from RNAcentral. Lineage: Eukaryota; Metazoa; Chordata; Mammalia; Carnivora; Mustelidae.